Long non-coding RNA from Zalophus californianus (California sea lion), 3266 nucleotides. RefSeq lists it as uncharacterized. The transcript is spliced from 3 exons. The record is from RefSeq and is a predicted model, not a curated record. NCBI's taxonomy places the organism in Eukaryota, Metazoa, Chordata, Mammalia, Carnivora, Otariidae.
UGGAGAGGACCCCCGCCCGCCGCCCUCCGCGCCUGCGCCCCGCGACCCCCCGGACAGGCCCCGGUCGGGGGCGCGGGUCGAAAUGGAGGCGGGAGCGCGCGCGCCGCUCGCGGUCAACCAGCUUGUCGCUCCGUCCCGCACAGCUUCCUCACGCUGCCCCCGGCCGGCCCCGUCACGCGCGACAGCCCCCGCGUCGGCCCGUCAGUCAGUCGUUCCGUACAGGCCCAGCCGCAGCCGUUUUCUCAACCUCGCUCCCCCGCGCGGCGGCCGGGAGAAGAGACGAGGGUGCAGAGCGCCUCCAGGCCCGCCGGCCGAACCCGGUUACCUGGGCGGGCUGCCCGGCGGAGGGAGCCAGCCAGGCCAGGCCAGGCCGGGCCGCCUCACACCCGCGGCGGCGGCGGCGGCGGCGGCGGCGGCGGCAGCAGCGGCUGCGGCGGCGGAGGCGGGUCCUCUGCGCGCCCUCUCCGGGGAGGGGCGGGGGCGGAGCAGCCUGCGGAUUGGCCGGUGGGCUCUGAUGGACAGCAGGCAUGUCCCGCCCCUCCCUCUUGGCAGCGCAGGGCUGGCUUCAGGCGCUCCUGCGACGGCCGGGCUCCCGUCUGUCCCUCCCUUGCGGCCGGUGUGGCCUUCGACAGACCCGUCAUGCGGAGAAGCCCCCAGGCCUGAGCGUCCGCUGUAGGGCCUUUAGACCUGUGGCCCCCGGUGGCCUCCAUCUCUGUGCUUCUCAUCAGCCACUGCCCCACCUCAUGCUCCGCCUCCACGCGCCCCUCUUGCAAAUGCUUUCCGGAGCUUUGGUUUUCGUGGCCUAAUUCCCCGUGUUUUCCUCCUGCCUCUCCGGCCGCUGCCUUUCAGCCCCAGAAGUUUCUCUCCCUCUGGGCUAGGUCCUGAGCCAGUUCCUAAGGCGACCCGAACUUUCGCAUGGCUUCACCCCAGACCCAGGCACACGUAGCCCCAAACCUGUAUUUCCCCCGCAUCCCACUGUCUGUUCCACGGCCCCGCUUAACAUGAGCGUCUCACCUCCCUCCUCAAACAGCUCUUUCCACAGUCUUCACUUUCUCGGAACAUGGCACUAAGUCUUCUAAGGUGCUUGGGCCAAAACCCUUGGAGUUAUCCUUGAUUCCUCUGUCGGCCUCAACCACCCAGCAAUCUAGCAAGGCCUUUUUGCUUCUACCAUCGGCUAUCUCCACUCCACCCACAAGCCUGACGUCCAUCUUGUCUCAUCCAGACUAUUUACUCUCCCUGAUCUUGCCUGCAUCUAUUCAUGCUUUAAUCUUUAAGAGGAAAUUAAAUCGCGAUCCCCUACCUCCGGCCUCAAACCCUCCAUGACUUCCCACUGCACUUAAAAUCUAUACUCCCUCCUCUCCAGCUGGUCCUGUAUGGUCGGGCCCUUUCUCUCUCUCCCUCCUUGUCUCUCACCACCUCGCCCUCAACCUCCAUGCUCCAGCCACAAGGGCCUUUUAGUGGUUAUUUGAAUAAUUCACAUUGUCUUCUUGAAGCCAUCCCUAGACUUGCCCCUGCAGUGUAGCUGCCCCCGUUCACAGACAAACUGAAGACACCUGUGGUCACAGUGGAGCCGGUCUGACAGAUGUUGAGUCAGGCAAAGCAGGACAACCUUUUAGAGGCUAGAGGCCCAGCAGAGCACUCAGCUGAUGCCAGAAAAGGACCCAGGUGUCAGGAAUUCAUGAAAAAACUGAGGCAGAGAGAAAGAGACGUGCUUCUGGACACACAGUUGAGAGAUGGCAGAGAUGGGGUUCAAACCCAGGCAGCCUGGCUCCAGAGUCAAUGCUAAUGUUGCCUUCCGUGUGGGCCCAAGGUGGAUUUGACAAAAAAAUGGACAUGAGCUGCUGAGCAGAUGCAGGGGGUAAGGGAAAGAGGAGCCAAGCAAGCAGCCAGAUAACCUGGCACAUGGAAACCAUCCCACUUUGCCCACAGCUGGACUGGAGCAUCACAGAAAAGCCUGUUAGGAGGGAGUUCUUCAGACUACACAUCAGGCUUCUGCUUCUGGACAAGGCUGAAGUGUGAAGAGGGAACCAACCUACUGGAGUAAUAAGCAAGGGGGUGGGUCUUCUCCCAACUCCGUUCUCAAGCAUUUUUCGGGGCCUGUCCUCUCUGGCCCUCACAUACCUGUCCAACCUCUUCCCUCAUCCCCAUUGGCCAGGUCAGCUUCCCAUCCUCUGGUUUGCUCUCCCAGGCCUGCCACCACCAAGGGUGACCUUCACGAUUUUUUUUGACCAGGAUCUAGUUGCUGGCUCCUGCCCUCAGAGGACUUGUAGGAAGAUCCCUGCUGGAAAAGGUAAGCAGGAGUUUCUCCUCAUCAGUAAAAUCUUAUGCCUGCAAGGUCUUCUGCCCCUAAUUUCUAGUUCUGGACCAAGGUUUGUCACCUGGUUGUGGACAGUCCUGCUUAAGUCCCAAACCUCAGGUCCAAAUUCUCAUCACCUACCCCCCAAGCCAUUAAGUGUUUCGAUUAUUUCAAGAGCCUCUGUGUUGCCAUUCUUUAUGUUCAAUGGUUUAGCUACCUCAACAGCACAGAAUUUACAAAACUUGGCUGUAAUUGCUCCAAAGCACUGAUAGCUACAUAACCUCCUUUAUUCCUGGUGUGAAUGCUCCCUCCCUCACGGGCCAGUGAAAUGCAGGCUUGCCAAGAAGGACCUUCCAGGGUUCUCUUCUGUGGGCCAACACCAGCCCAGCCCCAGGGAGUUAAGAGACCAUCAAGGAGAUGGCUCUCCUCCCGAAUAUACCUGUGCUUGCUAGCAAGCCAGAGGGCCUAGGGCUAAGUGACCUUCCUGCUUCGUUUGGCCAGGAUAACUCACCUUUCACCCUGAACCAUUUUUGUAGGGACCCUACCAACAUGCGUACAGGAGCCCUGGGGAGUAGUGACCACUCCCUUUUUCAACUAACCAAUCAACACAGGGAGUCUACUUUGGGCCUCUGGGAUCCAGUGAGUACUGGAUUAGAAAUUGGCUUAGCACCCUUAAUUCCUGCCAUCCUGACUGUAAGCUUAGCCACACAAGCAAACCCGAACAAGCUCCCUACAGCUUCUGGCCAGCACACACGGAAAGUGGAAAAUCUGCCUCCCAAAUACGUUCACGCCAUCUUGCUCAACAAACAUUUCCUACCCUAGGCUCCAAAUAGUUGUUGUACCCCACCUGUUCUUACCGAUUUUCUAUACCCUCUCUUACUUCCUGGGCCUGCUUUUAUCCAAGGAUGUGGACUCUGGCUCCCCUCUGACCCACAUCCACAGCAGCGGGACAGGUACAGCCCCUUCCAGG